This is a long non-coding RNA of Mustela lutreola (European mink), 1050 nucleotides long. RefSeq lists it as uncharacterized. Lineage: Eukaryota; Metazoa; Chordata; Mammalia; Carnivora; Mustelidae. The transcript has 3 exons. The record is from RefSeq and is a predicted model, not a curated record.
AGGCUCCAGCGGGGAAGCCAGCGAAGGGGGCCCGGUGCCUGCCCCCAGGUGGCUUCCUAUUGAAUUGCAGGAGACACAGCAAGUGCCUGCACCUGGGUGUGGCUGGAGUUCAAAGGAGGUUCUGCCUGGCCUGGCCUGGAUGGGGGGGGGGGGCAGUCAAGGAAGCCUCUGGAGAAGGAAGAGCAAGGGCUCUUUCACGUGCAGUGGGUCGGAACGAGGAGAGGGCAGCCUGGAUGCGAGCUCCUGUGGGCCUUUCCGUGAGCUGACCCGGUCCAGCCAGUGGCGCAGGUGCACGUGGGGGCGGCAGCUGGACAAAGGGCCAAAGAAGGCGAAAGCGAAGGACCCCGCCUGAUGAAGGUGACAGCAGGAGCCCCGGAACAGCUUUUCCUGGGGUUGAGUUUCAUACUGGGAGCCUUGAUUCAGGCAACAUUGUUUUCAGUUGCAAAUGACAGAAGCACAACUCAACCCAGAAUGUAAACCCCGGGAGCAGGAUCUGUCUCUUUUGUGGACUGCUCUAUUUCCAGACCCUAGAAGAGUGCCUGGCAACCCAGAAGGCCCUCAGUGAGGACACAAGCAAAGGCAGCAGUUUGCAACCCGGAAGAGUGCAUUGCCAGAACUGGACCAUACUGGCACCCUGAUCUUGAAUUUUUAGCCUCCAGAACCAUGAGAAAGAAAUACCCCCCAACCCAUAGUACUUCGUUAGAGCAGCCUAAACAGACUGAGACAGUGACUGAAUUUCUACUCAUCUGCUGAACGAGUAUCGUAUCACAAACACUGCGUACAAUACCACGCAUAUUGUGUAUAGUAUCAUGUACGUUAUACUAACACUGUCUGCUUCUUAAUAGGGGUGUGCCCUUGGGCAAGUUUCUUUUGAUCAAUCUGUGCCUCAGUUUCCUUAUUUGUAUAAUGGAUCGGGGUUGUAGUGAAAAUUACAUGAGAUGCUUCUACUACCUGUAAUGUUCUCGAAGAUCAUCCCAGGGCUGCCUCCUUUUUCACAUCAAGUCUCAGUUCAAAUGACGAGUCCUCAGAGUCCCUGACUUCUCUGACCCC